Molecule: non-coding RNA, 11387 nt
Organism: Cicer arietinum (chickpea)
Lineage: Eukaryota; Viridiplantae; Streptophyta; Magnoliopsida; Fabales; Fabaceae
Source: RefSeq, a predicted model, not a curated record
UCAUCUGCGCUUCCCCAUAAAAUUACACCCCAUUCCAGACUGUCACCUUCAACGUCUCUAUCCAUAAUUUGACCCACUUCUUCCCAUUCUACCCUCAACCUCCCUAUCAUCACCACUUGAACUUAUCCGUUCUUAGCUGUCAUGCUUUUGUCACAUAGCUACCCCACAAAACAAAGCCAACCCUCACUUAUUUCCACAAAGGUUGCACUUUCUUCUUGUGCCUUGUCUCUCUCUUUUUCAACACUCUCCCACACCACUUCACAAGCUUUCCUCUUACGCAUCACCAAAAAACACAUUAGAAUCUCGCGCGUGGACUACACACGAAAGAUUUUAACGUGGGAGUAAUAAAAAAAAACAGUACCGUUCGAAGGGUUCCUCUAAAAUAUAUCGUAGAUAUCGUUGGAGUAUUGAGUCGCUCUUAAGUCUUAGUCUACUGAUUAAAAAAACUCCAUACCAUAAAUCGUUUUAGAAUUUUGUUAAAUUAACCAAAAUUUCCUACUUCACGAUCCUAGAAUUUACAUAAUUGAUUAUCUUUCUGUUGUCUCUCUAAGCCUUGUUUGAUUUGGUGAAAUAAAUAUACGAUGCUUAUAGGUCCAUUGUAUUUGUACUCGACCGGAACAAAGCAACAUCUGUAUGUGGAGAAGGGUGCCUUAGUAAAAGAUAUGGCUGCGCAUAUGAGCCUAUUUUUGGAGAUGGCGUCCUAAGAGCCAAUGGUGAAACAUAGGUCUAUCAAAGGAAUGUUAUUAUUGCUGAAUUAUUCAUGAGCAAAAUUAAGACAAUGUUAUAUAGUAUAAAAGAUUCUGAUAUGGAAAUUGUCAAAAAAAUGGAAUAAAUCUAUAGAAGAAAAUAAAAGAAGAACCGUGGACUUGGUGAUUGAACAUAACUUGGCGAUUAAACGUGAUAAGAAGGUUCUUUUGGAGGAUUUCAUUCAAAGGCUUAUUUUAGUAGCAAUUAUGAAGAAGGACUUUUUGAAAGAUUGGAUGCAAUGCAAGCUAAACUUGAAAAGACCAGUACACUUUUUGGAUUUCUAAACCUAAGUUUUCUUCCAACUAAUGAGAACAAUAAGGUAUGGAAGAUGAAGAUAGAGGUGGAUGUGUUGAUAAUGAAAAUGAUCAAUGAUCGUGAAAUCUAAAAUAAAAAUAAGAACAAUGAUGAGAAAUCAAGUGAUCUAUUACAAAAAAAUAAUAGAAAGUUCCAAAAUUAAUACAGUUUUAAAUGAAAAUGGUGUUUUUUCAAGACGAAGUAUGACAUGAAUCGAUUUACUAUAUAUCUUUGCCAAAAAUAUCUACUUUGCUAGCUCUGAGUCAACCGCUCUCCUUGCAUCUUGCAACUACUUGGGCAUUGUGGCUCAUUGCAUAAUAUCAUGAAUGACAACAACGUUUCCGAUCUGAGAUUUUGGAAGCAUUUGAUUACAAGUUGCCUCAUUCUAAAUGUGAGGAUGACAAACUUCAAAAGCUGAAAUUGCUAACAUUGGUGAUUCAAGAGAGUUUACGUCUUUAUGGGCCAACCAUAACUAACUCAAGAGGAACUUUUGUUGGCAUGAAAUUCAGAGAUCUUUUGGUACGUAAAGGCACCUAUUUGUGGAUGUUUGUGCCAACACUUCAUCAUUGGGGACCAGAUGCUGCAUAAUUCAAGCCAGAAAGAUUUGCAAAUGGUCUUAGUAAAGCUUGUAAAUAUCCUCAAGCUUAUCUUCCAUUCGGAUUUGGGUGCCGCAAUUUCUUAGGCCAAAAAUUUACCAUGACAGAAAUUAAGAUUGUGAUUAGUCUUAUCCUCUAUCAUUUUUCCUUUGAGGUUUCACUAGGUUAUCGCCAUUGCCCCGUCUCUAAUUUGUUGUUAAUUCCAAGGUAUGGUAUAAGACUUCUUGUUACCAGGCUUAACCACACAAACAAAUGUUCCCUAAUUUAUCAGGUUACAUCUAAUAAAAAUAAAGCAUUAAGUGUAGAACAAGGCUUGCAGAUCAUCCUUUGGUAUUGGGAGUAAACGUCAAUCACCUUCAGAUGCUAAUGUAUAUAAAAACAAAAGAGGAGAGAUAAAAUCUUAGUGAGAGAUAAAAGGAGGGGUAGUUUAAAAAUAUUCCUUUCAUAAUAUGCAUAAAAACAUGAAAUUAUGAUGCAUUUCAUGUUGAAACUCUUAACUUCAAAUUUUAAUUAAAGCUCAAAUGAAAUCAAAGCGUAAAAGAGGGGGUGUCUAUGGUAUGAUUCUGUAACGAGAGUGAGUAAGGAAGGAAACCACCUAAUCAUGGAAACAACUGAAUCAAAGCAACCUAUUACCAUCACAUCUUCGAUAUCUCUUCCCAAAACCUGUAAAAAGACCGAUUCCCAUAAGAUAGAAAAUCUUAUUGAAUAUACUUAUGUUCCUGAUGAUAUACAAACUGCUGAAACUAUACCACAUCUUCUGAACCCUUAAAAUAUCUUUAAAAGACAAAGAUCUUUCACCAGAUCUAUCAAAAACUUAAUCACAACUCACCAUCCUCACAUGAAAAAAUAUAUUCAGUCUUCAUGACUUGAUCAGUGUAGCCUCAGGAAGACAAAUCAAGAGCAGUAUGUUGAUUUAGAGAUUCCUCAAAAUCUUAUAAAUCAUUGGAAAAAUGAAGGAUACACAACCUACACUUAAGAGCUGUCAGAUUGAUCAUUUCUCUCCAUGGAAGGAAAAAUCUCCUAGUUUUCUGUAAGAUAGCGCUGUUAGACUCUAACUAUCUUCACUAUGAAAACGCAGUAAUCAAAAUUGUUCUGACUUCAUUGCAUGCAGGAGGUGUAGUUCUCACUAUCUUUCUAAACUACAACGUAAGUCUUAAUGAUAGUACUUAAUCCACAAGGCUAAAGGUCCAAGUUUAGAUUCCCAGAUCUGACCAAGUCCCAGAAGCCAUGUCGACCACUCUCCAUCACCAAAUAAUCUAUCGACUUCAAAAUUAUUCGAUAGAUUUACCACUCACGGGAUGUUCUUCGAAUUUGUUAUUAGUAAUCUCCAAUAAAGAAGAAGAAACAACCUCUAUUGUCCAAAUCCCUAGAAGAAUAUCAAGAGAAGAAUUAGCAAAGUUGAUUCCUCUUGAAUGGAUCACAAACUACGAAAAGAUACAACAAGACAGAAAGCCAAUCCAGUCUCAAGAAGCAACUUUCAGGAGAUCAUCUGCUGACAAAACAGCAAGACGAUCUUCAAAAAUCCAGACAAAGGAAUUAGCUCACCUUCUCCAAUCUUCCAAACUUUGAUGAUUCAACCAAUACUCAAGGAAGAUUGGUGUCCUAUCCACGCGGUUACAAUAGAUGGAAAACCCAUCUAUACAGAUAAAAUAAACUAACAUUUCAUUUGGGAUGUAAAUUCCAAUAUGUGUGACCCAUACUGUGAUUGCUGGAUACAUGAUGGUGAGAUGGAUGAAGAUGUCAUCCGCCCUAAGAGAAAAAAGAAAGGUAGGUGUAAACCACCACCAUCUCCACAAAGAAAGCAAAAGAAGAAACAAAUAGGAAUGAUAAACAAAGAGAUUCAUUAUAAAAGAAUAGAAGAACAAAUACAAAAUAGAAAAGAAUCUAUACAUCCUCCAUUAGAAGCAAUAAAAAUAGAAAACAAUGGAAUUAUAUUUGAAACUUCACCCUUUAAAACAAUUAAAGCAUCCAAAUCAUGAAAAUAAAGAAAUAGGAAGAGUCCAAACUUAAUUAAACUUUAGUAAUCAAAUAUUACAUACUAUGGUUGAACAAUUAGAUAGAGUAGAAUUACAAGUGAGUAAAAAUCACCUCAGUACGUCUAGUGAAAUUAAUUCAUAUAAAAAUUACAAACUAGAUCCAAAAAGACCUAUUUAUAAAUUAAUAAAUGUACUUGAAAAAGAAUUAAAAGAAGCAAAAUUAAAAAAUAACUCAGAUGAAUUAAUAGAACAAUUAAAAAGGUAGGCAAUCACAAAUAAUUCACAAGUCAAUGUAUUAUCACAAGACCCCAAUGAGUUAGAAAUUAAAAAAAUUAAAAAUGUGAAAAAUACUGGUUACUUAGGUAAAACUAGAAAUUAUUAUCCUAGACCUAGCUAUCGAGACUUACAUUUUGAAGAAAGUUAUUAAAUGACCUCUGCAACCUAUAGUGGAGAUUCUAUUAUUGAAUGGAACAUAGAUGGACAUAGCGAACAAAACAUAUUAAAUAUUAUUCAGGUCAUGACUAUGGCAGCCACUCCCUUUAAAAUAUCAGGAAAAAAUACUAAUAAAAAGACAAAUUAUUAUUAAUCACUGGAUUCACUGGUCAAUUAAAAGGAUGAUGGGAUAAUAUAGUUAUUGAAGAAGAAAAAACUAUGAUAUUAACAACAUUUAGAUUAGAUAAUAAUGGAAUACCAAUAGAAGAUGACUCAGUAAAUACCUUAUUAUAUGCUAUCACGAAAGCCUUUGUAGGAGACCCAUUACAAUUACAAGAAAGGGCUGCUGAACAAUUAGUCAAUCUUCAUUGCCCUUCCAUGUCUGAUUAUAGAUGGUAUAAAGACAUGUUUAUGUCAAAAUUAUAUAUGAGACCAGAUGGAAAUGCGGAUUAUUGGAAAGAGAGAUUUUUAGCAGGAUUACCUAAAUUAUUUAGUGAGAAAGUUAAAAUGAAUAUUAAAUCAAAAUUUAAUGGAAUAAUUCCUUAUGGAACAUUAACCUUAGGACAAAUAUCGAAUUACGUAGUAGAAACUGGAAUAGGAAUAUGCACAGAUUUUAAAAUACAGAAUAAAAUUAGAUCAUAAGUAGGGCAAAGUAAAAAAGAAUUAGGAUCAUUUUGUGAAAAAUUUGGAAUAGAGACAAUUAAAGCUCUCAAUAAAAACAUAAAGAAAAGAUAUCCAAAACAAACAUUUAGACAUUAUAAGAAAAAUAAAAUUUUUAAUAAUAAUUACACCCCAAAGGAACCAAUAAAGAAAACACAUAAAAUUUUAAAAAACUAAUAAAAAAGUCUUUAAUAAACAAGAAAUUAAAUGUUUUAAAUAUGGAAGACUAGGACAUUAUGCAAAAAAUUGUAGAGUAAAACAAAAAAGUAAUGAAAUUAGUAAAUUAGAAAUACAAAAGGAAUUAAAGGAAAGUCUUAUUAAUAUCUUAGAAGGAAUUAUGUUGAUUGAUGAAUCCUCUAGUUCUUCGGAAGAAUUAUCUUAUGAAGAAGAAUAUGUUAAUAAUAUAUCAAAAAAGUUAGAAUCAGAAGAAAGUUCAAAAGAAGAUUAUUGUUUAGGUCCAGAAUUAUGUAACCGUAAUGAUUGUAUUUAAGGAAUUAAUAUGAUUACUACAGAUCAAACUAGUACUCUCAUAGAAAUAUUAAGAAAAAUGCAUGAUUCAGAUCAAAAGGAAAAAUUUAUGAUUCAGAUACAAGGAAUUAUAGAAAAAAAAAAAAAACAAAUAGAAAAGGAAAUAGUUCAUAAAGUAGAAUAUAAAGAAAUAAUGAAUAGAUUUAAAUCCGCUAUUACCCAAUCAAUUACUAUUAAAGACUUGCAGAAUGAAAUUACUUCUAUAAAAUAGGAAAUUCAAUUAUUAAAACAAAAGAAUUUAGAAUUAGAUGUUAAGUAUUUAGAAUUAAAAGGAAAAAAGUAUAUUGGAAUAACAACAUAAGUUAGAAAGUAGUAGUAAUAAUAAUGAAAUAAUGAAAAAAGAACCUUAUUAAUUUUUGUUAAAUAAAUUAAUUAUACACAAAUGGUAUUGCCCAAUAACUAUAAUUAUUAAAAAUAAAAAAUUUGAGUUUAUUGCAUUAUUUGAUUCUGGUGCAGACUCUAGUUGUAUCCAAGAAUGAUUAAUACCUACUAAAUAUUACGAAAAAACCCUACAAAGAUUAAGUGGAGCCAAUGGUUCUAGAUUAGGUGUUACUUAUAAAUUACCUGAUGCAAAGUUGUGUAAAAAUGGAAUUUGUUAUCAUACUCCAUUUUUAUUAGUAAAAGACAUUAGAGAAAGUGUAAUUAUAGGAAACCCUUUCUUAACAUUAAUAUACCCAUUUAGUGUAUCACAUGAAAGUCUUAUUACAAAAGCAUUAGGAAAAACAAUAAAAUUUGAAUUUGUUCAAAAACUCAAAAUUAAAGAAUUAAAUAUGUUACAUGAAGCAUCAACAUCAAGUCUUAAUAACAUUAAUUUAAUUUCUCAAAAGAAGAAACAAUUAGGAAUGAUAAAUAAAGAGAUUCAUUAUAAAAGAAUAGAAGAACAAUUACAAAAUAAAAUCAUACAAGAUAAAAUAAAAGAAUUACAAGAUAAAUUUGAAAAAGAAAUAUGUGCAUAUCACCCCAAUGCUUUCUGGACAAGAAAGAAGCAUGUGGUCUCACUUCCUUAUGAACCUAGUUUUAAUGAGAGAAACAUUCCCACUAAGGCAAGACCAAUACAAAUGAGUCAACAAUACCUAGAUUAUUGUAAAAAAGAAAUACAAGAAUACCUAGAUAAAGGGUUAAUAAGACCCAAUAAGUCUCCUUGAUUAGUUAUUAAUUAUAAACCAUUAAAUAAAGUAUGACAAUGGAUUAGAUAUCCAAUACCCAAUAAAAAAGAUUUAGUAAGUAGAUUACAUAGUUCAUCUGUAUUCUCUAAAUUUGACAUGAAAUCAGGAUAUUACCAAAUAGAAAUAGAAUAAAAGGAUAAAUAUAAAAUAGCCUUUGUAGUACCCUUUAGACAUUACGAAUGGAAUGUUAUGCCAUUUGAAUUAAAGAAUGCAGUCAGUGAAUUCCAAAGUAUUAUGAAUGACAUUUUUAAUAAUUACCAACAUUUUACUAUUGUAUAUUUAGAUGACGUAUUAGUUUUUUCAAAAGGUAUUAAUAAACACUUUGAACAUCUAGAAAAAUUCUUUAAUAUUAUUAAAGAAAAUGGAUUAGUGGUGUCAGCCAAGAAAAUGAAAUUAUUUCAGGAUAAUAUUAGAUUUUUAGGAUUAAACAUUUAUCAAGGAACAAUAACACCAAUUAGUAGGUCAAUAGAAUUUGGAGAAAAAUUUCCUAAUGAAUUAAAAAACAAAAUUCAAUUACAAAGAUUUUUAGGAUAUGUAAAUUAUGUAGCAUACUUUAUUCCCAACCUUAGGAUUAUAUGUUCACCUUUAUUUAAAAGAUUAAGAAAAAAUCCACCCAAAUGGGAUGAGACUAUGACCGAUAGUGUCAAAAUCUUCAAAUAAAUAAUUAAAAAAUUACAUUGCUUAGGGAUUCCAGACCCUCAAGCCCUAUUAAUAGUAGAGACUGACACAUCAGAGUUGGGUUAUGGAGGAGUGUUAAAACAAAAAUUAACAGAAAACCAAAAAGAGUAAGUAGUGGGAUAUUACUCUAGAAUAUGAAACACAUUCCAAUUAAAAUAUAGUACUGUUAAAAAAGAGAUUUUGGCAAUUGUUUUAUGCAUUACAAAAUUUCAAGAUGACUUACUUUCGAAGAAAUUUUUAUUAAAAAUUGAUUGUAAAACAACAAAAGAUGUUUUGCAAAAGGAUGUUAAAAACUUGGUUUCUAAACAUAUUUUUGCGAGAUGGCAAUAUUUACUUUCUUGUUUUCAUUUCAAAAUAGAACAUAUUAAAGGAGAGAAAAACUCAUUACCAGAUUUUCUUACAAGAAAUUUUUUACAGGAAAAGCACAAUGAGUCAUAAAGAUAAGUAUGGAAUCCCAAUUACAGAAAACAAAAUUACAAAAACACCCACUAUAAAAUAGGUAUUACAAACUCCCUCUUCUUCCUCCCAAUUACCAAACCAAAACAGGUUUACUCUAUUAACCUCAUUAGCAUUACUAUACUUUUACCCGACAACUUCCUUACAACCAAAAACAAUAAGACCCACAAUCCAAUCCCAAUUGAUCUCACCAUUACAAUUUGCCUUAAACACACCGUCCCAAUUAAAUACUCCAACACAAAAACCAAAAAAUUACCCUAUUACACACCCCCUAGUAACUUAAAUUGUCCAUUUAUAGAAAAGGAUUACAAGAAAAUACUUUUUUCUUGUGGAACCUGAAUAUUCAUUAAGCACAUAAUUAUUUCAUAUUGUUUCUCAUUAUUACCCUCACGGAUUUCAUUAUCUACCAGCCACCCCAGAGAAAACAAGAUUAUUCUAUGAGUUUGUUUUAGUUAAUACUGAUUAAAUUGAAAUAACUCAUACAUACGACAAGAGUGAUAAAUUGAAAAUUAUUUUUUCAAAAUUUAAAAUAUUAAAGGUAUUAUCACCAACAGAUUGGAAAGAUCACCUUACAUAAUUCAGAUAACACUAAUAAUUCAACUUAGUAAAAAGGUUAAUAAUACAUUGCAAAAGUCAAAAGUAAGCAUAAUGUUGCAUGCCUUGAUAAUGACGCCAAGAUAACGUGUUGCCUUUUUUCAAAAGUAAUCAUGAUGCUUUGUCUGGUGGUUUUGUCGUUUAAUGCCUUGGGUCAAGAGUGCGGUCACAUCUUGCCUUUAAUAAUUCAACUAACUUUAAUAAUUUAGAUUCCUUCUAUUCCAUAGCCAUCAUCCUCCUUUUGUUGAGUAAAACUUUGAGAUGAUUCUACAGAGUCUUCAUCAUUAUGGUCUGAUUCAAUAAUUGCAUAUUGUAAUUUAUUUAAAAAUUCUUUUUUAUUUGAAGAAGCUGAUAAUUCUGCCAUAAUCUUGGAUUUUUCAGCCAAGAAUUGUCCUUCUUUAAUUUUCUCUUUUGGCUUAAUAAGAAAUUUAAGAUCUCUUCGAAACCAUUCUAAGAGUGUGAGUCUUUUAAUAAUUCUAGAUUAAAUUUGUUCCACCAUUUAAUUUUAAUAACUCUGAAUACCCAAUUAAUAUUAGAAUGUGAUAAUUCUUUUGUAUAUGUCCAUGAGGUAAUCCAUGAAAUACCAAAGGUUUCAUGAAACAUUAAUAUCUUCAUAUGACCUGGAAAAUUAGUUUUUUUUUUUUAAUAAAUUCUUAGAAUGCCGAUCCAACAAAUUCUGGGUAAAUUUCUGGCUAUGGUCCCUAUUCAUUGAACCAUUUAAUAAACCAUAAUGGGAAAUGUAACGAAAUGGCUUUUUUAAACCAAAUUAACCAGGAAUGUUCAAAGAGUUCUUGUAAUAGCAGUUUUGUCCAUGCUUUCAUAUAAUCAUAAUAAAAAUAUUUCUGAGGAGUAAAUUUUAUGGAAUUUUUUUUUUAAUGCCGAAGGGUGAUCUUUCCAAUAUGUUGGUGAUAAUACCUUUAAUAUUUUAAAAUUUGAAAAAAUAUUUUUCUGUUUAUCACUCUUGUUGUAUGUAUGAGUUAUUUAUUUAUCACUCUUGUAAUAUUUUUUUAAUACCAUAUGUUGGAAAGAAAGGAGAAGGUCUUUCUGGCUGGGUAAAAUAGGUGGGAAUAGUAGGAGGAUUAACGAAAAAAAUUUCAACAGGCUUAGGCUUGUGCUCUUUAGAGGUUGUUAUGAAGUCAUCCAUUUCUUUUACUUGGGCUUGUAACCUUAUAAUUUCCCUUUCCUUUUGGUCAAAGUUUUUACCAAAGGUUUUUUCAUCUAACGUUUUCCUCAAAUCAUAGUACAGCUGAGAAACUUGGGCUUUGACGUUUUUAUAAUAUUUUUGCAUUUUUUGAGAUAAGACUUUGAAAUCUUCAUCUGUUUGUUCCAACUUCUCUGUGAUCUUCUCCAUCUUUGAUCAAGCUUUUGUAAGCUAACAUUAUGGGCAACCAUAUUUUCUGAUUGCCAGUUGAGGACUUCUUCAGCUUGAGUCAAAUGCUUUAAUUUCCCAUUAGGGUGUUGUAUGAAAAGUUUGGAUGACCUAUUUGUGAUAGGGUCAAUUUUUCUUUUUAAAGCAGGGAAAUGUUGAUCGUAUUCUGAGGCUGAUGAUGAUAUUAUGAAGCAAGGAAUUGGUUCAAUAUUUUUGGAAGGUUUUAUCGGGUCAUAAUGAUCUGAGGGAGACCAUCAGAUAAGGUUAGGAUCAUAUGGUGGAAUACGGUUUUCUUCUCUGAGGAUCCUAAUAGCUUCUUCGUAAAUUUGGAGAGAACGAGCUUUCUUGCGAUUUCCUACUCAAGGACCAUUAUCCGGAUCAUUCCUUCUUUGUGGAGGUGGUGGUGGUUUACACCUACCUUUCUUUUUUCUCUUAGGGUGGAUGACAUCUUCAUCCAUCUCAUCAUCAUGCAUCCAGUAGUCGCAGUCUGGGUCACACAUAUUGGGAUCUACAUCCUAAAUGAAAUGUCCGUCUAUUUUAUCUGUAUAGAUGGGUUUUUCCAUCUGUUGUAACCGCAUGAAUAGGACACCAAUCUUCCUUGAGUGUUGGUUGAAUCAUCAAAGUUUGGAAGAUCGAAGAAGAAGGUGAGCUGAUUCCUUCGUCUGGGUUUCUGAAGAUUGUCUUGAUUGUGUUGUCAACAGAUGAUCUUCUGAAAGUUUCUUCUUGAGACUUGAUUGACUUUCUGUCUUGUUGCAUCUUUUCGUAGUUUGUGAUCCAUUUAAGAGGAAUCAACUGUGCUAAUUCUUCUCUUGAUACUCUUCUAGGGAUUUGGACAAUAGAGGAUGUUUUUUCUUCUUUAUUGGUGAUUACCAAUAACGAAUCUGAAGAACAUCCUAUGAGCGGUAAAUCUAUCGAAUGAUUUUGAAGUCGAUAGAUUAUUUGGUGAUGGAGAGUGGCCGACAUGGCUUCCGGGACUUGGUCAGAUCUGGUGAUCUGAACUUGGACUUUUAGCCUUGUGGGUAAAGUACUAUCAUUAAGACUUACGUUGUAGUUUGGAAAGAUAGUGAUAACUACACUUCCUGCAUGCAAUGAAGUCAGAUCAGUUCCAAUUACUGCAUUUUCAUAGUGAAGAUUGCUAGAAUCUAACAGUACUGUCUUACAGAAAACAUGAAGGUUUUUCCUUACAUGGAGAGAAAGGAUAAAUCUGAUAGCUCCAAAGUGUAGAGCUGUGUAUCCUUCAUUUUUCCAAUGAUUUAUAAGAUUCUGAGAAAUCUCUAAAUCAACAUACUACUCUUGAUUUGUCGCCCUGAGGCUACACUGAUCAAGUCGUGAAGACUAAAUAUAUCCUUUCAUGUGAGGACAGUGAGUUGUGAUUAGGUUUAUGAUAGAUCUGGUGAAUGAUCUUUGUCUUUUAAAGAUAUUAUAAGGGCUCAGAAGAGGUGGUAUGGUUUAAAUUUUUUUUACAUCAUCAGGAACAUAAGUAUAUUCAAUAAGAUUUUCUAUCUUAUGGGAAUCAGUCUUUUUACAGGUUUUAGGAAGAGAUAUUGAAGAUGUGAUGGUAAUAGGUUGCUUUGAUUUAGUUGUUUCCAUGAUUAGGUGGUUUCCUUCCUUAUUCACUCUCCUUACUAUAUUCAUACCAUAGGCACCUCCUCUUUUACACGAGGCUCUGAUACCACACUUAUAAUAACUUAACAAUAUAUUUUAAAUUAAGUGCGAAUUAAAUCAUGAGUCUUUGAUCAUAGUUGGAACUAACGACAAACUUAGGCAGAGGAAAAACUCUUGACCAGAGGCGAUACCUUUUGGAGUAACUACUUAGAGACAACAUGACGAGAGACAAACUCUGAUUAGAGGCGAACUCUAACCAGAGGUUGCAUGACCAAGAGUAUAUAGG